This 391-nucleotide ribosomal RNA is filed under the name Triparma sp. Its description in RNAcentral is "partial small subunit ribosomal RNA". It matches the Rfam family "Eukaryotic small subunit ribosomal RNA", at positions 582 to 975 of the family's 1831-position model. Lineage: Eukaryota; Bolidophyceae; Parmales; Triparmaceae. The record is from RNAcentral.
AUUCCAGCUCCAAUAGCGUAUAUUAAAGUUGUUGCAGUUAAAAAGCUCGUAGUUGGAUUUCUGGUGAGUUCGUUUGGCCGGCCGUAAAGGUCUGUGCCGAAAUGUUAUUCGCCAUCCUUGGUGUAAUCUUGUCCGCCAUUAAGUUGUGUGGGCUUGAGGAUGCCAUCGUUUACUGUGAAAAAAUUAGAGUGUUCAAAGCAGGCUUAUGCCGUUGAAUACAUUAGCAUGGAAUAAUAAGAUAGGACCCAGGUACUAUUUUGUUGGUUUGCGUACCUAGGUAAUGAUUAAUAGGGACAGUUGGGGGUAUUUGUAUUCCGUUGUCAGAGGUGAAAUUCUUGGAUUUACGGAAGACAAACUACUGCGAAAGCAUUUACCAAGGAUGUUUUCAUUA